AGUAAGGGGCAGGGCCAGGACUCAACCCAGGACCCAGGCUGGCUUGGUCCAGAGCCCAUUAUUUUAUCCUCUGGACUCCACUGCUCUGUUUGGUGCACACGGCCUGGCGCACAGUAGCUGCUGAAUGAGUGAACGGCAAAUGGAUGGGUGUUCUCUGGAGGUGAGGUGCCAGGGCUGAGAACGGCGUGCCCUGAUUGUAAGAACAGUAGUAAGGCCACAGAGAGCACAGCUGCAUUGAUUGAAACAAAAUGCACACAUGACGAGACCAAAUUGUCUGGGGGCCAUAGACAGCCCACUGCCCAUCUGUUCCCUGUGCCACCCUGUUCCCAUUAAAUGUAAAAGUCAAGGAGCUGUCAGAUCAGAAACCAAGCCCCUCCUUAACGGUGUUUACAGAGAAGUAGAGAGCCACCCGGCCUCACUGAAGAAUGAUGGCUUUUAAAUCUGACAGUGUUUCCCUUCCAGGAAGUGAAUUUUUUGGUCCUGCAGGAAUCAUCUUCAAAGCCAGAGAACCUGGUUUAAGCACAGCAUUUAGAAGAAGCUAAUUGUGCCCUUGACUCCCACCAACCAGAUGGCUGGGCUGCCUUCCCUUUGCAGAGCCAGGGGCCUGCUUCACGCAGCUGUCCAAGCUGUGGGCUGAAAUCAAGAUGCUGGAAUUCAUCCUCUCUGCUCUUUCAUCCGCAGCCUCUGGGACCUGCGGUCCAGAGUCAAGUGUGAGGUGAGCCGCAGGGCCUGCGGCAGGCAAGGCCUCCCGAGCAAUUAGCUCCCGUGCCCAGACACUUGCUCCUUUUUAUGUUCCUAAUCUCUUUACCAGGAAUGCUCUGUAUUUUGUUCUGGGCUGUGCUAGUAGCAUCGCCGUCCUCAAAGGGCACCAGAAAAUCGGGUGUUUUCAAUGCCAAAGCUGUCAAGUCAAGCUUUGUGGACUGCAGCAUGGACAGAUGGGGUUAGGACAGCCAGAAGAGAGGAGAGACAACAGGGCAUGACAGUGUGGGAACACCAGAAAUCGAGUAGAAACCAGAACAUUCUAUUAGAUGAAGAAAAAGAAAAGUCUUUGGGCCUGUCAAAUUUUGUUGAUGUUUGGGAGCCACUGUGAUGGAGAACCAGAAAAAUAGGGCAUAUGGGGAGACAUUUCUCUUAUAGAGAAAAGAUGCUUUCCCCUAGAUUCUGAGAUUAUGAACCUGGAUCAAAUGUCUAGCUAUCAUUAACAGUGAUCAUCGCUGGUGGGAUUAUGUGUGUCUGUUUUCUUCCUUCUUUCUGAAUUUUUGGAAUGAUCAUAUAUUUCCUUGAAAUACUGGGAAAACCCCACACUUUAUGUUGAAAAGCAAAACAAAGUCUGGCUGUCCCCAUAAGGGUCCUCAGAACAACCCUAGUAUGUGCUCAACACAGCAUUUGGUGAAUGUUCUUCCCUGGAGGACCAAGGUCAGCCUCUGAGCCAGAGGAGCCCCCUCUCUAGCCCAGCCUUUUAGAGCUUUUGCAGAGAAAUGGCCCCCUUGUCACACUGUCCCCAACAGCCAGACACUGAUCUCAGAGUCAGUGUCCGGGCCAGUACUUGACAUUUGGUCUUUCUUAUCUCAGAUGAGGAUAAAAAAGACUGAGCAGGCAGGCUUGUGAGCAGUAAGUGACCCAAUCUGCACACACACACUGAGCCUGUAUCCGGUCUACGCAAAACAACCAAAGGCAAAAGACCGUUGUACCCUUCAAGCCUCGUUUUUACCAUCUUUCCCAAGUCCACUCACCCUGUUGUUCAGGUGGUUAUUCACAUUUUCCCUGAGUUCACUUUCAGUAACUCAUUACUUUUAGUUGUCUUAUCCUGAACAAUAAUACCUGUGAAACUGCAGCUUUGAUAUGGCAGUCACGUUUCCUAAAGGUACGUGGAAAUAAGUACAAAAUACUAAACACAAAACAUUUUCUGUACACCAUGUAAAAUAGUCUUUCACGCUCCCAGGGACCCAAGGCUCACACCAUGGGAACUACACCAUGGGAAAUGCUGCCUUUCACCUCCGAGCUCCUGUGUAGCUUCCAAACUGCGUUGCUGAUGCUCUAGGUGGGCUGCAGCGCAUCAGGGAUGAGGCUCCUGAGAGGUAAUUCUGCGGGGCCAGCAUCCCCCCGAAACCUUCCUGAGCCUGCACCAUGGAGCCAGCUCCUCCCAAAGCACGGCCAGAUGCAAGCCAGGGAAGAGGCCAGUCCACUCCCCUCCCUGCCAGCGGCCUUGGGCUCUGGCCUGUCCUCUCUCAGCCCACAGUCGGCAUCUUAUCAGGCUCAUUGCCUCCGACCAGCCUGGGACACUGACCCUCUCUCUCACUCUCCUAUCGGUUCUCCACAUAAAUCUCUCCCCACAAGGGCCUCAUUCAAAAUUCUAUCAUGCUUUCCAGUCACUAGAGUUGAGGUUUGUAAACUGAAUGUUUAGCCCACACAGGGUUCUCUCUUUUUAAAUGAAUGCCAUGUAUGUGAUUUUCAUGAAUAUUUAUGUAACACCUGUCAAGAUUAUGCCAAGAGCCCGGAAAAUAAAUGCCCUGUAGUUCUUCCUUAUCAUAAUGGCGAAGCUCAGGAUGGUGCUGGUUCAGACUAUCUUCUCUUUAUCCCACACCAUUUUGGUCCCAGGUGGUCUACUGUGCACUGGCCUCAUGCUACUGUUUGGAGAAGCUGCAGGAAUGUCCAUUGGACCUGAGCUCUUACCACGAGAAUGAAGCCUCUGAGUUUGGCUGCUUUCUCAGGAGGCUCUGUGCUCCUCCACUACACAGAUGGUGCUAAGUUUAAAAAUCCAGAUUAUUACACUUGAAAAAUGGAGUUAUCUGGUCACAGGGGUUCAUGUUCCCACGUGGUGGCCCCUAGGAGAGGCUGAGCAGCAGCUUCUCCCUGACUGAGGCAUUUGUCCUCCAAUUCACCACAGUCCUCACCACUCCCUAUUGUCUCCCGACAAUGAGGGGUACCAGCUGUUCCUCUUAGAGCAGAGUUGAGAACGGAGAAGGAUUUCUUUCUUUUUUUUUUUUUUCAGUUUUAUACCUUUAUUUAACAAUCAGGGAUCCCUGGGUGGUGCAGCGGUUUAGCGCCUGCCUUUGGCCCAGGGCGCGAUCCUGGAGACCCGGGAUCGAAUCCCACGUCGGGCUCCCGGUGCAUGGAGCCUGCUUCUCCCUCUGCCUGUGUCUCUGCCUCUCUCUCUCUCUGUGACUAUCAUAAAUAAAUAAAAAUUAAAAAAAAAAAAAAAAAA
RNAcentral lists this long non-coding RNA (3205 nucleotides) under Canis lupus familiaris (dog). RNAcentral describes it as "lncRNA (ENSCAFG00845000677.1)". Lineage: Eukaryota; Metazoa; Chordata; Mammalia; Carnivora; Canidae. The record is from RNAcentral.